This 57-nucleotide transfer RNA is filed under the name Dirofilaria immitis (dog heartworm nematode). RNAcentral describes it as "transfer RNA-Trp". Lineage: Eukaryota; Metazoa; Nematoda; Chromadorea; Rhabditida; Onchocercidae. The record is from RNAcentral.
UGUUGUUGGAUCGUAAUUUUAAUACUUCUUUUUAUGAUGCUAAUAAGGGGGGUAAUC